AAUAUAGUUGAAAAUCACCAAACUUGUCAAAAGAAACUUCGUUUGCAAACCACUUUACAUAAAAAAAACAUACAUCAAAUAUCUAAAAUAACCAAAACAUGAAGAAGAUAAACCAUCGUUUAACACCUUUUUAUUUUUGUUAAUUGAAUUUGAUUGCAUAAAAUUAAUAUAGUGGGAAGUAGGCUAUAGUUUUUACAAAGCUCACUAAAUAAUAUAACUGAACCUUAGCAAUUCUUGCUGAGAAUGCCCUUUGCACACUACCCUUUUUCAAUUCUACCCUUUCCUAUUUGUCAUUUUUAUUUCUACCCUCUUUAAAUUUUUAAUGACUAUUUUACCCCUAUUUAAAAAAUGUUUUAGGUUAAGAAAAUGAAAUAUUAAUAUUUUUUGCCUAAAAUAUUCUAAAAUAAAUUUCCCGCCAAAAUUUUCCCGCCAU
Molecule: small RNA, 433 nt
Filed under: Arabidopsis thaliana (thale cress)
Lineage: Eukaryota; Viridiplantae; Streptophyta; Magnoliopsida; Brassicales; Brassicaceae
Description: ATSL085940
Source: RNAcentral